Molecule: ribosomal RNA, 1989 nt
Filed under: Triticum aestivum (bread wheat)
Lineage: Eukaryota; Viridiplantae; Streptophyta; Magnoliopsida; Poales; Poaceae
Description: partial small subunit ribosomal RNA
Source: RNAcentral
AUGGGACCUCAUCAUUCUGAUCUAAAUCACAAGUGGCUCUGUUCGGUCGUUUUAAGUGGGAUUAUGAUAGGUGGGUCCCGCUGUUGUCGAUGUGGCGUCACUGUUGAUCCAUUUGGCUCGUUAGACGCCGUCAGAAGCCGUUCGCGGCCCGUCUUGAGCCGGAACUCAUUUGACCGGUCCACCCCCGCUAUCCCUUUGUCCGCAUCCUCCCCGCACCCUCUCUUUCCCUCCCCCGCACCCUCUCUCCGCACCCCCUCUCUCCUCAGACAUGACGAGGCGAGUGGCGGCGGCGACUGCGGUGGGCCUGCCAGUGGCGGAGACGACAGACCACCGGAGGCGGAUCUGUGCGGCAGCUCAAACCCCGGCGCCCCUUCGGAGAGCAGCCCCAACCCCAGCCCCCGGCACUCGCUCGAGUUCGCGGCGGCUAGAUCUUGGGCCAGGGCCGUGAAGGCGGAUCCGACGCAAAGCCACCAGUGGGGCUCGUCAUUUGGCGGCGUCUAUUUGGAUGAUGCUGUUUGGGAAGUUAGAAUGCACUUCCAUGAAAGAGAUAAUUUGGAGAGAUCCCUAUGCAUUUCAGACAUCACAUAUCACAAUUUGGUAGCAUUAAUAGAGACAGAGGGAUAUGGGGUGAGUGAUUACAUUUACUUUGUGAAGGAGCCUGGUGUGGGUAUUGAAGGAUUGGUAGAAAUUACUGAUGAUGACAUGGUCGAUGAAAUGCUUGACCAUAUUGCUAGUAAGGAUGAGACUGUACUGAAUUUGACAGUGAUUAGGGCCACUGAUCCAAGACCUGCAGAUUUGAAUUCAGGUUAUUUGUAUGAGGAGCAGGUUCCUUUGAGUCAAUUAGGAGAAAAACCUGUCUAUGAAGUCAACCCUUCUGGAGUUCUUUUCAGAUCACCUGAGAAACAGAGGCAGUCAGAGCCACUUCAGUUCUUUGCCACACAGCAGAGCUCAAACUUACAUAUUGCUAUGGAGCAAGAUGAGCAGGAGACACUAAUGGAGCUCAAGAGGAGAACCAAGAUUGAGAACUUUAGGAAACAUAAGGAGGCAUCUGAGCAUGUUCAAAUGGUUAAGCAAAAACUACCAGUUCUUCUAACUGAAGAUGACUCUGAUCUUGAUGCAGAUGAGGACUUUCUUAACAUGCUUAAUGAAUUUAGGAGGCAGAGAGAGGACCCACUCCUUCAUUUUGAAGGAGACACUGAUGUGGAUGAAGUUUAUGGGGAAGAUGAGGAGGAGCAAGUGGAGCAAGUGGAGCAAGUUGAGGAGGAUGAGCAGAUGGUGCAUGAGGAGGAGGAGCAAGUUGAGGAGCAACAACAGGAUCCACCCAAGAGGAAGGAAAAAAGAAAAGGGCCAACCAAGAGGUCACAUUCAAGCUUGGAGCAAAGAUUUGAGGAUGUGUGGGCACCAUCAUCAGAUGAGGAGCUAGAUGUAGGUGAUUUGAAGGAGGAAUGUGAUGAUGGAGCUGAGAAUGCACCUUAUAUUCUGCCCAAUGGAAGGAAGAGCAGAGCAUAUAAAGCACAACCAAGGAAGUGGUACAGUGAAGAAAGAGAGAACCCAGAGGAGCAGUUUUGUAGAAAGCUUUGUUUCCUUAAUGUGUACCAAUUUAGGAGAGCACUGCAGACAUUUCACAUAAGUCAGAAUAGGAACUAUGAGUUCCACAGAAACUGCAAUGACAGCAUCAUAGUGUACUGCACUAAUGUUAAAUGUCCUUUCUACAUUGCAGCUUCUGUUCUUGCAAAUGAAAGUACUUUUGGAAUAAGAAAGGCUAAUUUUUUGCACACAUGCCCAGCAGUAGCAGAGAAUACCAAGGUCACAGCAAAAUGGGUGGCACACCAGUGUGAGGAUAUGCUGAGAAUUGAUAUUGGCACACCAAUCACCACAAUUAUGCAGAAUUUGAAGAAGAAAUAUGGAGUAGAGAUCUCAACCCAUAUGGCCUAUAGGGCUAGGAAACAAGCAUUGAAGGUUGUCCAAGGAGACCAAAGAGGUCAAUAG